GAUGAACGCUGGCGGCGUGCCUAAUACAUGCAAGUCGAGCGAACAGACGAGGAGCUUGCUCCUCUGACGUUAGCGGCGGACGGGUGAGUAACACGUGGAUAACCUACCUAUAAGACUGGGAUAACUUCGGGAAACCGGAGCUAAUACCGGAUAAUAUAUUGAACCGCAUGGUUCAAUAGUGAAAGACGGUUUUGCUGUCACUUAUAGAUGGAUCCGCGCCGCAUUAGCUAGUUGGUAAGGUAACGGCUUACCAAGGCAACGAUGCGUAGCCGACCUGAGAGGGUGAUCGGCCACACUGGAACUGAGACACGGUCCAGACUCCUACGGGAGGCAGCAGUAGGGAAUCUUCCGCAAUGGGCGAAAGCCUGACGGAGCAACGCCGCGUGAGUGAGGAAGGUCUUCGGAUCGUAAAACUCUGUUAUUAGGGAAGAACAAAUGUGUAAGUAACUAUGCACGUCUUGACGGGACCUAAUCAGAAAGCCACGGCUAACUACGU
This 496-nucleotide ribosomal RNA is filed under the name uncultured bacterium. Its description in RNAcentral is "partial 16S ribosomal RNA". It matches the Rfam family "Bacterial small subunit ribosomal RNA", at positions 28 to 506 of the family's 1533-position model. The record is from RNAcentral.